This 804-nucleotide long non-coding RNA is filed under the name Phascolarctos cinereus (koala). RNAcentral describes it as "lncRNA (ENSPCIG00000034931.1)". Lineage: Eukaryota; Metazoa; Chordata; Mammalia; Diprotodontia; Phascolarctidae. The record is from RNAcentral.
CCAGAGAAAGGAAGACACUUACUCAAUGAUCAUCCAGUGAGUCCAGGUCAGAGUGGGGACUAGCACCCUGGGGUCCCAAAUCCAUGGCUGGUGCCAUCCUACUUUGCUCCCUUAGUCCAUGAGAAGCAGGAGGAGAAUGGGUAAAGGGGUCUGACUUUGAGAUGGUAGAGGGCUCUUUUCUCCUUCCCUGACCUAUAGGCCUGGCUCACAGGACUUCUUGCAGGCACAACAAGGAUGUGGCUGUUGCUUGGGUUCCUGUGCGGUUAUAGUCUGCUGAGCUGUGUCCAGGGAAAUGAAGACUUGGGAGUCUUAUGCACCAUCAGUGAACAGGAGAUUCAGAAGGCAUGGAGGGACAAGAUAAUUGGAGGUGGAAUUCUGGAAAAGCAGCUGAAAUUGGUGCAGCUGCCUAACCUGGGAUAUGGGGGUGGCCUCCUUGGCUCUCUCUUGUCUGUUACCAAGAUUCAAAUUCUUAACCUCCUGCAGCCUGAGAAUUUUCUCCAUUCAGUUCUUUGAGAUCUCAGUCAAGCUCAAGCCCAAUCUGGGGAGCCAGCUCAUUAUCCUUCUCAAGCUCAAUGUAGAUGGCAACUGCUUGCUCAAUCUUCUCUCUGGGUUGAUCAACAUCUCUGUGGACCUGCGUCUGAAUGUGGACAUCUGCCUAGGCACUUUUUCGAAAGAGACCAUACAGUUUGUCCCUAACAACUGUUCAAUGACUGUGGGUGCCAUUAAUGUCAAUCUCCUGUCAGGGUAAGGGUUUUGUCAUCGUGUGGGGCUGCCCAUGGUCCAUUGGGUAGAAGUCCGGGCAUC